CUUUUAAAAAUGCACUUUUUAAUACUGUCUAAUUAAGCUUAACUUAAAGAAAGUACACUUUCAACAUAAACACACUUAAGUGCACUUUUAAAAAUGCACUUUUUAAUACUGUCUAAUUAAGCUUAACUUAUAGUAAGUACACUUUCAUCACAAUAUUUCUUAACAUACUUAAGUACACUUUUUAAAAAUGUACUUUGUCUAAUUUAGUUUUACUUAAAUGUAACCCUGGUUAAAUAAUUAAAUAUUAUUAUUUUAAAAGUGUGCUUAAAUAUAAUAGAGACUAUUCAUACAUCUACAUUUAUUUUAUAAAUGAGGAAAUACAUGUGAAUAAUUCAAUCUGAAUUAUAAAUCUGAAAUGAGUAAACCAAUCGGAGUGUUUAAUUGUAAGCUCCGCCCCUUUUUUGCUUUCGGAUCGCGUCUCAGUUCAGAGGAGAGAUGCAGAGCGACAGAGACACGCGAGAGUGUUUAAUUUGAUUAAAUAUGACUCCUAAGUUCAUAUAAACUGAAGAAAUCAGAAUUUAACUUGCAUAUAUUCAAUGAUACAGCGUGGUUGUGUGGAUUGAGCACUUUUUGAGCUUUCAUUUUGACCUGGGGUUGGAUUGUUCAUUGCAGUGUGAUUAUGUAAAACCACAUGGUGUGUUGUGUUCGCUGACGCCAUUUUGGUUGCACGUGCCUGUGAAAGACAAAAAGAGAGAGAAACACGUGAAUGGACAGGUAUUUGUCUAAAUUGUCAUUUAUUAUGACAACUGUAUGUAUUUUAUUUGUUUCCUGUAUUAUGUACAAUUGUUAAUCAUCAUUGAUACACAAUAUUGAAUGUUUUUUCCUUUCGUAUGAACAUUCCUUGAGCUGGAUUUUCCUAAUUGAUGGCGAGCCUCCCAUUUCGACCUGAUUGGAUCACGAAUCUAGAGGAAAGGACAAUUUUCUAUUUUAAAUAUUUUUCUUCAGACAAGUAAGAGGAUACAUUUCAGAAACUGUUUCCUUAUUUUGUUUGUUUACUUUAUUGAACUGAAACAUUUCAGAAGCACAAUUCUGAUAAUUUAAGACUGAUCAAUACUCCAAUUUAUAAGAACUUUGAACUUGAAUACUGAUUUCAGUGUGUUACAUAUAUAAUUUGUACCAUCCUUGUACAUUGAUUGUGACUGUGAUUUCUGUAAAUGAGAAGUAAUUUAGAGGGUGCACCCAUAGUAUAUAUAGUUAAUUGUAUUUUCAUUGUUGUUUACCAUUUUUUGUGAUUAAGGAAAGAUAAAGAAAAAGAGGUUUCUCAAUACUCAAAGUAAAAUAAUUUAUUAAUCAACUUA
Molecule: non-coding RNA, 1298 nt
Organism: Misgurnus anguillicaudatus (oriental weatherfish)
Lineage: Eukaryota; Metazoa; Chordata; Actinopteri; Cypriniformes; Cobitidae
Source: RefSeq, a predicted model, not a curated record